Homo sapiens (human) is the source of this 2649-nucleotide RNA transcript. It is a transcript of the gene named fucosyltransferase 2B, pseudogene, with no coding region annotated. Lineage: Eukaryota; Metazoa; Chordata; Mammalia; Primates; Hominidae. The record is from RefSeq and is marked validated. The transcript has 5 exons.
AAUAGCUUUGUUUUAGGGGUAACUCCCCUCGCCUUGUGGGGAGGCUUAGGACGGGCGGGUGCAAUCCUCGAAGGGGAGUCUCAGCGACCAUGGGGGACACCAUCCACUAGAUGUCAGGCUGAAGGAGAUGAUGAAACUCUGUAAGCCGAAGAACAUGGGGAAAGAGGAGACACAGGAAGCAUUGUCAGUCUCUUACCCGGGUUUGGAGGGCACUGCCCUGCUCAGUCUGGGGGGAUGUGGUGACCCUCAGGACAGCCUCCCCAGCGCCCAGGCCCUGUCCAGGCCCAGGAUGAAGGCUGCCUCAUCCUCAGGCCUGGGACCCCUGCCAGCCAGGCCACCCGCAACGGUGUGGGACGUGAGUGCCGUUGCCCCCGGCGGUCCAGCAGCAGGACAGCCCCGAGCAGCCUGGCCUAGGAGGCUCACCGCAGCCGUCAAGGGAUUCUGGGCCACCCGCCCUUCCUUCUCCACCUUCUACUUCGUCUUUGCCAUUUUUGUGGUGUCCACCAUCUUUCACUGCCACCAGCACCUGGCUCUGGUGCCUGCGCCCUGGGCAUACUCAGCCCGUGUGGUCCUGGCCCCCAGACACCUGCCCCGGGAGGACCUGUUCACUAUCAACUCCAAGGGCCGCCUGGGGAACCAGAUGGGCGAGUACGCCACGCUGUACGCCCUGGCCAAGAUGAACGGGCGGCCCGCCUUCAUCCCGGCCCAGAUGCACAGCACCCUGGCCCCCAUCUUCAGAAUCACCCUGCCGGUGCUGCACAGCGCCACGGCCAGCAGGAUCCCCUGGCAGAACUACCACCUGAACGACUGGAUGGAGGAGGAGUACCGCCACAUCCCGGGGCGCUGUGUCCGCCUCACGGGCUACCCCUGCUCCUGGACCUUCUACCACCACCUCCGCCAGGAGAUCCUCCAGGAGUUCACCCUGCACGACCACGUGCGCGAGGAGGCCCAGAAGUUCCUGCGGGGCCUGCAGGCCAAGUGGGCAGGGCAGGCGACCUUCGUGGGGGUCCACGUGCGCCGGGGGGACUAUGUCCGUGUCAUGCCGCGCGUAUGGAAGGGGGUGCUGGCCGACCGGCUACCUGCAGCGGGCCCUGGACUGGUUCCGGGCCUGCUGCCGCCUCCCGGUCUUUGUGGUCACCAGCGAUGACAUGGCCUGGUGCCGGGAGAGCAUCAACAGCUCCCUUGGGGACGUGGUGUUCGCUGGCAAUGGCCUCCAGGGCUCACCUGCCAAGGACUUCGCACUGCUCACACAGUGCAACCACACCAUCAUCACCGUGGGCACCUUCGGGGUCUGGGCCGCGUACCUCGCGGGCGGGGACACUGUCUACCUGGCCAACUUCACCCUGCCCAACUCCCCUUUCAACGUGGUCUUUAGGCCGUAAGCGGCCUUCCUGCCAGAGUGGGUGGGCCUUGCGGCUGACCUUGGACAGGCUGGACAGAACGGCCUCUAGCCAGCCCUGCAUGUGCCUGGUCCUCAUCCUGUGACCCGAGGGGCAGUGAGUGGGGCGUGCGGGGCAUGGACUCACGGUCCCUCAUGCAGUUUGGAUCCAGGCUUAUCUACUUCAUAGCUGAGUGAGUUUGGACAACUGACUCAACCUCUGUGCCUUAGUAUGUCAACCACAAAAUGCACAAACCACAGAACUAAACACCAGUAGCAGCUGGUGGGAGCUGAGCAAAUUCGCUUAGAGCCAGUGCCUUGUGACCGUGUGGGAGGUGUCGGCUGCUCACAUGUAUGCAGCACGUCAGGAACACUGGCAUUGCUUUCCAAUGGAAACGCAGUUUUGCCCUCUCCUUCCUGGCAGCACUGGUAGCACAGAGCCCAGAUAUUUUGCACUCACGUCCCAGGACGAAGCCAUCCCUGCCCUGAAGGAUAGGGGAACUCGAUUUUCUGGGCAACUAGGAAUUUUGGCUUUGGAGUUAGUGGGCCUUAUCACAAAAGAAUGUGAGGGAAGGGCCGGGUGCGGUGGCACGCCUGUAAUCCCAGCCCUUUGGGAAGCCAAGGCUGGUGGAUCACUUGAGGUCAGGAGUUCGAGACCAGCCUGGCCAACAUGGCGAAACCCAGUCUCUACUAAAAAUACAAAAAGCCAGGCACGGUGGUGCGUGCCCCUAAUCCCAGCUACUCCGGAGGCUGAAGCAGGAGGAUAGCUUGAAUUGGGAAGCAGAGGUUGCAGUAAACCGAGAUCAUACCACUGCACUCCAGCCUGGGCCACAGAGCGAGACUCCAUCGCAAAAAAAAAAAAAAAAAUAGAAUUCCAGGGAAGACAGGAUUUGCAGGGACACACCUAUGAGGAGGGAUUCCCCUGCGAUGGACAGGGGAGGGGUUUAGGUGCAGGUAGCACCCUGGGCGCAGGGAAGAAGGCGUCACAGUGAGGGCAGAAAAGACACUCCUCAGAUCCUGGAAGCAGCAACCUGACCCCCAGGGGCCACUAAGACCAAAUCAUGGCCAUCUCAGCAGCAGCGUGUGUGACAGUUACUGGAAAAAGAUACCUCACACCUGGCACUGCCUAACCCCCGAGAACCUAAUGCCACUCUGAGAAAGCUCAGUACGGGUGCAAGUUGGAUUAAGUAAUUGCAGUGCGAGUUUUCCUGUGUUUUAUUGGUGUAAUGCUCCUUUUGGACAUUAAAAAAACUUGACAUAUACAAUGAUCA